GAGCAUGAGCUUUCGUGAGCUACAGCUCACUUCAUCGGAUGCAUACUGUGGAAACUUGUGCUCAAAUGGAUUGGUUGGUCUCUGGGGUGCCACAAGUACUCCUUUUCUUUUUGCAAAUACAGACUAACACGACUGUUACUCUGAAACCUGUUCCUGUGUUAGACCAUGUUCCUGUCGUCUAAUAAACCUUCUGUUUUACUGGCUGGCUGAGAG
Molecule: long non-coding RNA, 213 nt
Organism: Chelonia mydas (Green sea turtle)
Lineage: Eukaryota; Metazoa; Chordata; Testudines; Cheloniidae
Exons: 3
Source: RefSeq, a predicted model, not a curated record